RNAcentral lists this ribosomal RNA (253 nucleotides) under uncultured bacterium. Its description in RNAcentral is "partial 16S ribosomal RNA". It matches the Rfam family "Bacterial small subunit ribosomal RNA", at positions 524 to 776 of the family's 1533-position model. The record is from RNAcentral.
UACGGGGGGGGUAAGCGUUGUUCGGAAUUACUGGGCGUAAAGGGCUCGUAGGCGGCCAACUAAGUCAUACGUGAAAUCCCUCAGCUUAACUGGGGAACUGCGUGUGAUACUGGAUGGCUUGGAUUUGGGAGAGGGAUGCGGAAUUCCAGGUGUAGCGGUGAAAUGCGUAGAUAUCGAGAGGAACACCGGCGGCGAAGGCGGCCAACUGGACGAAUACCGACGCUGAGACACGAAAGCGUGGGGAGCAAACAGG